Molecule: long non-coding RNA, 2694 nt
Organism: Pantherophis guttatus
Lineage: Eukaryota; Metazoa; Chordata; Lepidosauria; Squamata; Colubridae
Source: RefSeq, a predicted model, not a curated record
CGCGCGCAGGGCUAUGAAUAGCGCGGCUGACGCGUGGCGCGCAAGAGGGAGCAGCCCCCGCGCUAUUUUUAGGGCCGCCGCGCCCGAAAUAGCCUCCUCUGGAGCCGCGGCCCGGCCGGGAUGACGCGGGCGCCGGCGCAGCGGCUGAAUCAGAGGCCGGCGGGGCUCAGGCGGCCCGGAACGGUCCGGCGGCCUCUGCCCCCCGAGGGGCGCGCCCCGGGACUACGAGGGCGCCGCAGCCGGAGCGGAGCCUCGAGACCCUCGACCCGCCUUCUUCGCCCGCCGCGAUCCGCGAGGAGGACUUGCUCUUUCCCCGCCGAGCCCUCGGCACCCGCGCGGCCGGAGGGAAGAGGGGCUGGCGCGCCUUGUCCGGGGGCUCGCCGCCCUUCUGCAGCCGCUCCGCCAGAGGCCGCCCGAGGGCCGCGCUCCGCCGAGCCAGCUGAACGUCGGAAGGAAUGCGGAGGCCACGGCGCCCGUCGCGUAUCUCGCUGCUGACUGGUCGGCGGGACUCUCUUGCAGCUCUUCCCAGAAGGCUCCCGCGGGGCUCUGAGCCCCUCAGCCCCCUCCCCGUUGCCUGCCCUUAGCUUGCCCCCUCCGGGCAUCCCAGGGCGGAAGGGGGUGUGAGCUUUGCCUGCUGACCAUCCCGAAAGAACAGCCAGGCGGAGGGACUGACUCUUCCUACAGUCCACAGGACUCGGCAUCAGGACACUCCCCACCCCACCCCGCCGGAAGUGUUGGAAAAAGUGGCCUGAUGGAGGAGGCCUGCACAGAGAAGAGCGCACCGCUUAGGAAUGGAAGCCUCAACAGGAAGCCUCAAGGAGGAUCAAUCCUUCCCUUCCCCACCAUCCAGUCAGAGCUGAAGAAGCUUCCUGGAUGAGAAGCAAAACGUCUUCAAAGAAAAACCAGAAAGUCCAAGUGCCUCUUGGAAAAGCACCUUCGGGACCUGAAUAGAAAGGGUUUUUUUAGGGGGGGGUUGUUGAUUGGGGGAAGCGCUGAUACCCAGAGCACCAGAGCCAGAUGGACCCUUUGCAGGCAGCAUAUCUCGUCCCAAAAUCUCAGUUUGCUGCCAGCUCAUUCCUCCAGCUGAGCCUCUUCCAUCUUCCAAUCAAUAUCCUGGGUGACCUGGAUCUCCAACCGGCCCCAUCGCUGCUUUUGCAGGUCUGGCUGAGGACAAAGCUGCUGACCCCAGUUGGCUGCUCCCCUGAGCCUGCCAGCACCUCUGAGCUGCACAUGCAACCCUCCGGGCCCAGUCCCCCCUCCCAGGGGAUAGAAGACCCACCCUGCAUGAAGAUAAGUCCACCCUUUUGUCCCGUUGGCAUUUGCUCCCUCUUUCCUAGCAGAUGUACUUCCUUUGGGAACUCCGGUAGAAAUCCAGCCACAGCUGUAGAAAAUGGAAGCCGAUGCCUGGUUGGGGAGGGGUGAAAAAGCCGUUCUCAUAUGUGUUGCACAUUGCAGGUCCUGGAAGUGAAAGGGACCGAGGGCAGGUGGGGAGUGGUCUUCUGAAUGUCCAGAAGGCACAGCUCUCGCUAACUGGGAUGUCUGGAGGGGCCUCCUUGGAAGGACCAGGCUACAACUCAGGCCGUGCCAGCCUGCUAUCUGGUUCGAAAUUUCCUUUUCUAAACAAUGUCUGGAUAUGUGGCGUGGCUGGAAUUUUGCUUCCUUACAGCUUUAGCUCAGUUGACUGAAAUUCGGUGACCACAUGACCUUGGAUUGGAGAAGGUUGUUCUGUUCUCCCCUUUUCCCUGUUUUUUGCCUUUUUUCUGAAAAAGGGCUUCAGCUGCCUAUUUGCUCUUUUUCUGCAACUUUUCGGCUGCACAGUAUCUUCCUCCUUCCUUACAGAGACACUGCAGGACAGCUGGAAACUUUGAGAUAACCCACAAGGAGAGAAAGGGACGCCAAUCUGCAAUUGCUUGUAAAAUUCCCCCAUUCCUGCAGCCAAUCCAGGGACACUUCCAUAAAUGAAGCACUCCGGGGCAAUGCCAGGCUGAGGCCAGGAAUCUAUUUCUGGGGCCCAGGUGGCUCUCCACGGAAUGUCCUUCCCUGGCCUGGAGCUUUGCAAUCAUAACAUGCAGGAACUGUCUGGGUGGUUUACUCUAAACACACCGAAGAAGAAACAAGACAAUUUAAGCUGAAAUAUACUAACAACAUCAAAUAAAAGGCAAAAUAAACUACAACUUUGACCACAGCAAGGCAGAUGUCAAACUCUAAAGAAGACCUGUCCAGCCCGCAGUCCAACAACCAGCACAUGGCCCUGGACAAUUAGUAAUGUGGCCCCACAAGAUAAUAAACAGUAUUAAAAAAUAAAAAAAAUGUUAGUUAGAUAUAUAUUAUAUCUUUUAUCUGCGGCCCAAGACAAUUCCUCUUCACUCGAUGAGCAUAGGCAAGCCAAAAGGUUGAACAACCACAAUCUAAAGCAAUACCACUAGAAUGAAUGGAAAAAGACUUGGAGGAAAAUUUGAACUUUGAUGUUAUAUAUGUUGACGGCAGCAAAAUCACUUUUUGCACAAAAAUGGAAGGACGCUUUGAUUCCCACAAUGGAGGAACGGCUGCAAAAGUUGAUGGAGUUAGCAGAGAUGGCAAAACCGACAGCUUUGAUUAAAGAAAAAAAACAUAAGUACUUUUGUUUCUACUUGGAAACCAUUUCUGGACUUUGUGCUUGAGGUAGAAACAUUAAAACUUUGAUUUUGGGUUUUA